Molecule: ribosomal RNA, 492 nt
Filed under: uncultured bacterium
Lineage: Bacteria
Description: partial 16S ribosomal RNA
Rfam family: Bacterial small subunit ribosomal RNA
Source: RNAcentral
AGUGAACGCUGGCGGUAGGCCUAACACAUGCAAGUCGAACGGCAGCACAGUAAGAGCUUGCUCUUACGGGUGGCGAGUGGCGGACGGGUGAGGAAUACAUCGGAAUCUACUUUUUCGUGGGGGAUAACGUAGGGAAACUUACGCUAAUACCGCAUACGACCUACGUGUGAAAGCAGGGGAUCUUCGGACCUUGCGCGAUUGAAUGAGCCGAUGUCGGAUUAGCUAGUUGGCGGGGUAAAGGCCCACCAAGGCGACGAUCCGUAGCUGGUCUGAGAGGAUGAUCAGCCACACUGGAGCUGAGGCACGGUCCAGACUCCUACGGGAGGCAGCAGUGGGGAAUAUUGGACAAUGGGCGCAGGCCUGAUCCAGCCAUACCGCGUGGGUGAAGAAGGCCUUCGGGUUGUAAAGCCCUUUUGUUGGGAAAGAAAAGCAGCAGGUUAAUACCCCGCUGUUCUGACGGUACCCAAAGAAUAAGCACCGGCUAACUUCGUG